GACGAACGCUGGCGGCGUGCUUAACACAUGCAAGUCGAACGGAAAGGCCCUGCUUUUGUGGGGUGCUCGAGUGGCGAACGGGUGAGUAGCACGUGAGUAACCUGCCCUUGACUUUGGGAUAACUUCAGGAAACUGGGGCUAAUACCGGAUAGGAGCUCCUGCUGCAUGGUGGGGGUUGGAAAGUUUCGGCGGUUGGGGAUGGACUCGCGGCUUAUCAGCUUGUUGGUGGGGUAGUGGCUUACCAAGGCUUUGACGGGUAGCCGGCCUGAGAGGGUGACCGGCCACAUUGGGACUGAGAUACGGCCCAGACUCCUACGGGAGGCAGCAGUGGGGAAUAUUGACAAUGGGCGGAAGCCUGAUGCAGCAACGCCGCGUGCGGGAUGACGGCCUUCGGGCUGUAAACCGCUUUCGCCUGUGACGAAGCGUGAGUGACGGUAAUGGGUAAAGAAGCACCGGCUAACUACGUG
RNAcentral lists this ribosomal RNA (467 nucleotides) under uncultured bacterium. RNAcentral's name for it is "partial 16S ribosomal RNA". It matches the Rfam family "Bacterial small subunit ribosomal RNA", at positions 28 to 507 of the family's 1533-position model. The record is from RNAcentral.